Molecule: ribosomal RNA, 429 nt
Filed under: Pseudomonadota bacterium
Lineage: Bacteria; Pseudomonadati; Pseudomonadota
Description: Proteobacteria bacterium partial 16S ribosomal RNA
Rfam family: Bacterial small subunit ribosomal RNA
Source: RNAcentral
UGGGGAAUAUUGGACAAUGGGCGAAAGCCUGAUCCAGCCAUGCCGCGUGUGUGAAGAAGGUCUUCGGAUUGUAACGCACUUUAAGUUGGGAGGAAGGGCAGUAAGCGAAUACCUUGCUGUUUUGACGUUACCGACAGAAUAAGCACCGGCUAACUCUGUGCCAGCAGCCGCGGUAAUACAGAGGGUGCAAGCGUUAAUCGGAAUUACUGGGCGUAAAGCGCGCGUAGGUGGUUCGUUAAGUUGAAUGUGAAAGCCCCGGGCUCAACCUGGGAACUGCAUCCAAAACUGGCGAGCUAGAGUAGGGCAGAGGGUGGUGGAAUUUCCUGUGUAGCGGUGAAAUGCGGAGAUAUAGGAAGGAACACCAGUGGCGAAGGCGACCACCUGGGCUCAUACUGACACUGAGGUGCGAAAGCGUGGGGAGCAAACAGG